This is an RNA transcript of Enhydra lutris kenyoni (northern sea otter), 2078 nucleotides long. It is a transcript of the gene named tetratricopeptide repeat domain 9, with no coding region annotated. The transcript is spliced from 4 exons. The record is from RefSeq and is a predicted model, not a curated record. Lineage: Eukaryota; Metazoa; Chordata; Mammalia; Carnivora; Mustelidae.
CCGGAUGGAGAGGAAGGGCUCGGCGGCCGCGGCCAAGGGGAACCCGAGCCCGCCCGCGGUCGGCGAGGCGCAGCGGCCGCCGCCGCCACUGUGCGUCCCGGGCGGCGGCGGCGGGGUCCCGGCGCGCGGCCAGGCUGGGGCGGCGGCCGAGCCCGCCGAGUUCAUCCGGCGGGCGCACGAGUUCAAGAGCCAAGGGGCGCAGUGCUACAAGGACAAGAAAUUCCGCGAAGCCAUCGGCAAAUACCACCGGGCGUUGUUGGAGCUGAAGGGGCUGCUGCCGGCGCCGGGGGAGCAGGAGCGGGACUCGCGCGCGGCCUCCCCGCCCGGGGCCCCCAACCCCGGCCGCCUCUCGGAGGAGCAGAGCAAGACGGUGGAAGCCAUCGAGAUCGACUGCUACAACAGCCUGGCAGCCUGCCUGCUGCAGGCUGAGCUGGUGAACUACGAGCGAGUCAAGGAAUAUUGCCUCAAAGUCCUGAAGAAGGAAGGAGAGAACUUCAAGGCUCUUUACCGGUCUGGUGUAGCCUUCUACCACCUUGGAGACUAUGACAAAGCACUCUACUACUUGAAAGAAGCAAGGACCCGACAGCCAACAGACACCAACGUGAUUCGGUACAUCCAGCUGACGGAGAUGAAGCUCAGCCGAUUCUCCCAGAGAGAGAAGGAAGCCAUGUGACAGCUGCAGCCGCCCCCGAGGACGGACUUCCAGGCAGCCCCCCGGGCGAAGGGCCCCUCCUGGGUUUUGCUCCCUUAUCCCCACGUCUGCCGGCUCCCCCUUUCUUCCUCCGGCUGCCCCUCAGCAAUCUGUCUGCUCCCAGUGGGAAAGGAAGGAGAGGCAGAUUUGGAACCUGGUGUGUUGCCUGCCAUGGAGACACCCCUUCUCUAGCAGGUCCACUACUGAGAGGGACCUCACUUCUGCGGGGACAGCUGGAGAGGACUCUUCCAGGGCCCAGAACGCUGAUGCAGCAGUGACUUCAGCCAGUGCUCCUGACAGAGGCAGAGCCUGGUAGAUGUGCCGUCGCAGGCACGGAGCCCACAGGCUGGACCCCUGCACACUUUCCGGACAGACCAGAGCAUCUCAAGGCAACCGUGACCAAUCCAGGGAAGAGACAAACGCCAGAAGCAUCAGAACGGGUUCACAUUUACCCAACUCAGAACCAUCCUGCGUCAGACACAGCAAAGGCAUAUGUGCAAGUCUCCCCCGUUCCCAAGCCUCCAGCCCAGGAAGCUUGCGAGUUGGCAAACUGCUUGCCAGGGUCUGAAGGAUGCCGGUGAGUUCAGAGGGGGGAGGCAGAACCGGUUCAAACCAGCAGGGUCUUCCUUUUGUCUUCAUGCCAUCAGGAAGGACUCGUACUAACUAUCCCCAAACCAGAGCAGGAGAGAGGUCUUGCCUCAAUGAGUAAGUUGGGGCAGAGCUGGACAGAGGGGGAUAAGAUCGUCACCAUCCUUCUAAAGAGGAAGGUGGAAACCCGGAACUAGAUGAGCACAGCGCUGAGCACAGAUUCCCUGCCUGUCUGGUGGUUCGCGUACACUUGCUUACUGGAAUCCGUUCAACUGUGACCCAACGUUAAGUGAUUCCCAAAGUAAAAAUUUGCCCAGGAGUGUUGUCUGAUAUUUGGGGUGGAGGGUGAAAUUGCUGUGCAUUUUGUCCAACAAAAAUUUCAGAAAGCUGUUAAGCAAGAUCAGGUCUAUUCACCUUAGACGACUUCAGCUUCCUGCCCCCCCAUCCCUCCUCAAAACACGGACUGUGAUUUCAUGACACCCUUUGUUUGCAGACGUCACUGCUGACCUGGAGCACUAAUCCUGGAUCUGACCUGCUGUGUCAUCUCCUGCUUGGACUUUUGUGAUAGACUCUUCGGGGAAAAAAAUUAUACUUUUCUUGUUAUUGUUAUGAAAGCCUCACAUGUGUAUUGUAGAAAUUUAGCGGGGGGUGGGGGGUGGGGAGACAAACUCCAGCCCGUCAUCCUACCACCCAAGACAAACAUCACUGUCCUUUUAGACUUCUCUUUCAGUUCUUUGGGGUAUAAAUGUUCACAUGCACAUGCAGGGCUUGUUUUGUUUUGUUUUUAACAAAAACUGGA